This 497-nucleotide ribosomal RNA is filed under the name uncultured bacterium. Its description in RNAcentral is "partial 16S ribosomal RNA". It matches the Rfam family "Bacterial small subunit ribosomal RNA", at positions 28 to 507 of the family's 1533-position model. The record is from RNAcentral.
GAUGAACGCUGGCGGCGUGCCUAAUACAUGCAAGUCGAGCGAACAGACGAGGAGCUUGCUCCUCUGACGUUAGCGGCGGACGGGUGAGUAACACGUGGAUAACCUACCUAUAAGACUGGGAUAACUUCGGGACACCGGAGCUAAUACCGGAUAAUAUAUUGAACCGCAUGGUUCAAUAGUGAAAGACGGUUUUGCUGUCACUUCUAGAUGGAUCCGCGCCGCAUUAGCUAGUUGGUAAGGUAACGGCUUACCAAGGCAACGAUGCGUAGCUGACCUGAGAGGGUGAUCGGCCACACUGGAACUGAGACACGGUCCAGACUCCUACGAGAGGCAGCAGUAGGGAAUCUUCCGCAAUGGGCGAAAGCCUUACGGAGCAACGCCGCGUGAGUUAUGAAGGUCUUCGGAGCGUAAAACUCUGUUAUUAGGGAAGAACAAAUGUGUAAGUAACUAUGCACGUCUUGACGGUACCCAAUCAGAAAGCCACGGCUAACUACGUG